ACAGGCACGGUAUGUGGCAAAUACAGUGUUUUUGAACCUUAAAUCGUGUAUACACAUUGCAUUACAUCUAAAACAAACCGUAAUAUUCGUUUUAGCCGUGUCAUAUCACCCCUUUAAAAGUGACACUCAAAAGCCAGAAACAAGAAAUCUCAGAGGGCAAACACAACAGAGGACACAAAACACGCACUGCACCAACGCUGGAGAGACUAAAGGACAUGUGGGAACUAUAAAGAUUAACAAGGUGGAGACAUUAUUUCUUCCUGAGCUGCAAAGCUUGAAUGGGGCAGAAUUACACCCCAUUGCAGUCACUUACAUGGGUGUGAGUCAGCGUUCCCUUAUUUUAAGGACGAGUGCUCACACAAGAGAGUCUUUGUUAUGGGCCUUUAGUGAAAGAAUGACUCCACUUUUCAACAUAAUGGUACGGUGCAUGCACCGUUUUGAUCAUGGUCUGACAAAAAAAAUGUGUUUUUGUCUUUAGACAAAAAAGGCAAAAUUCCUUAACAUUCACGUUUUAAUGUACUUGUUGUAUUGACAUAUGGUGUACAUUAACAGCAGCAUCCUGAAGUGUUUUUCAUGCGUCUUUUCACCUGAUCCUCCUAAAUACUAACUUUUGGGCACGUUUAUGUAUGGUGUCACACUAACAUAUUUAUUGUUUUGGUAAAUUGCUGUGAAAGAAACAAUUGAUUGCAGCAUUGCUUCCAUCUAGUGGACAUGCACUCAAAUAACAUGUGAUGUGGUGUAGUCUAAUCUUUCUACCCGAAAAACGUGUUUAACUAGUUCAAAUCGACUGAGAUUUAUUUGUGUUCACAGAGGACUGGGAAAAGCAAAUGAACAUUGUCCCUGUUUGUUGGUAAACCGUGGAUUUGAGAGUGAACACGUUUUGGUUCAAGCUUUGGUUCAGCAUAAAUGACGCAUCAAGUUUUAUUUUAUUUAAUCCUCUUAUUUAAUAAUAAUGAUAUUUUAUAAAAACAGUAGGCGAGAUGUACCUGUUUAGCUAACUGCCACUGAGAUGAAUACUUUGCUAUGCUAUGCCAUAAAGCCACUCAGAGUGGCUGUAUAUAAAUGUACUGUACCUCAAAAGAAACCAUCCUCGAUGCAUUGCUGUUUAGCAAACGUGUAACGUUAGGACUGCACGCGAAAAAACCUCACCAGAUAUCGUGAGUUUGAGAAAUUCACAAAACUGCAACUCGUCUGUCUUCUCCGCGUUGUUAUGAUUCUAAAAGCAGCUGAGGCGUCUCUCGUUAUGACGUCAGUUCUAUCUACUGUAUAAAGCUUGUUUAUCACAUUUUAUUUCAGCUGGAGCAUUGGUUUUUCUGUCAUCUGGAUAAAAUAUCAUGUAAGACGAAGUGCUAACGUUACGCGCGUGGCUUGACGAAGAAUGUUAGACUUUAUUCACUCAUCAACAUUGAACAUUAGCCUUGGUUUCAUAGGAGGCACGCGUCCGGACGUCCCAAAGUUAACGUCCGAUCGGUAGUAAUAUAACCAUUUAUUUUAUAUUUAAUUUAUGAUAAUAUUAAUGCAUAUUACAUUUACUGUAUUAAAUUAAAACUACUUAACAUUUAUUGAUUCUUUGCCGAGGUCUACCGGAAGUUAAUUUGGGCGGGCUACACGUAACGUUCCGUUUGUUUUUGUUGCCGCCGCUGAAACCGUAUAUAUAUACAGGAUGUAGGCCCGGUUUCACAGACAAGGCUUAAUGCUAGUCCCAGACUAAAAUGAAUGCGUGACCUGUCUUAACUCAAUAUAACUUGCCCAGAAAUAUCUUAAAAUAAACCAGCGCCAUUGUUUUGUCUCAAGAUGCACACCAGUAAUGUAUUCUUCUCAGGCAUUUUAUAAAAGCGACAUAAAUAUCUUAAUUCAACUAAGGCAUAGUCCUGGCUUAAGUUAAGCCGUGUCUGUGAAAUCGGGCCAUAGUGUU
This is a long non-coding RNA of Triplophysa rosa, 1915 nucleotides long. RefSeq lists it as uncharacterized. The transcript has 2 exons. NCBI's taxonomy places the organism in Eukaryota, Metazoa, Chordata, Actinopteri, Cypriniformes, Nemacheilidae. The record is from RefSeq and is a predicted model, not a curated record.